RNAcentral lists this ribosomal RNA (444 nucleotides) under uncultured bacterium. RNAcentral's name for it is "bacterial SSU rRNA". It matches the Rfam family "Bacterial small subunit ribosomal RNA", at positions 355 to 796 of the family's 1533-position model. The record is from RNAcentral.
UAAGGAAUAUUGGUCAAUGGGCGCAAGCCUGAACCAGCCAUGCCGCGUGCAGGAAGACGGCCCUACGGGUUGUAAACUGCUUUUAUACGGGAAUAAACCUAUCUACGUGUAGAUAGCUGAAUGUACUGUAAGAAUAAGGAUCGGCUAACUCCGUGCCAGCAGCCGCGGUAAUACGGAGGAUCCAAGCGUUAUCCGGAUUUAUUGGGUUUAAAGGGUGCGUAGGCGGCCUAUUAAGUCAGGGGUGAAAGACGGUAGCUUAACUAUCGCAGUGCCUUUGAUACUGAUAGGCUUGAAUGUACUUGAGGUAGGCGGAAUGUGACAAGUAGCGGUGAAAUGCAUAGAUAUGUCACAGAACACCAAUUGCGAAGGCAGCUUACUAAAGUAUGAUUGACGCUGAGGCACGAAAGCGUGGGGAUCAAACAGGAUUAGAUACCCCCGUAGUCC